Molecule: long non-coding RNA, 683 nt
Filed under: Coturnix japonica (Japanese quail)
Lineage: Eukaryota; Metazoa; Chordata; Aves; Galliformes; Phasianidae
Description: lncRNA (ENSCJPG00005000888.1)
Source: RNAcentral
CUGGUUCUGGUUUAGGUCCAGGUCCAGGUUCUGGUUCAGGUCUGGGUUUAGGUUUGGGUUUGGGUUCAGGUUCUGGUUCUGGUUCUGGACUCCCCAUAAUGGAGCUGCACCACCUGCAACACAACGGGGUCAAGGCUCUGGGUCUGGUUCUGGUUCGGGUUCUGGUUUGGGUUUAGGUUCUGGUUCCCCCCCCAUAGGGUUUUAGUGUGGUCGGGGUCUGGUUCUGGUUCUGGUUUAGGUUCUGGUUCAGGUUCUGGUUCUGGUUUAGGUUCUGUUUCUGUUUCUGGUUCUGGUUCAGGUUCUGGGUUUAUGUUCUGGUUCUGGUUUAAGUUUGGGUUUAGGUUUAGGUUCUGGGUUUAGGUUCUGUUUCUGGUUUAGGUCCAGGUCCAGGUUCUGGUUCAGGUCUGGGUUUAGGUUUAGGUUUGGGUUCAGGUUCUGGUUCUGGUUCUGGACUCCCCAUAAUGGAGCUGAACCACCUGGAACAUACAGGGUCCAAUGGGGGCAGGGUCUGGUUCUGGUUCUGGUUCUGGUUCUGGGUUUAGGUUCUGGCUCUGGUUCAGGUCUGGGUUUAGGUUUGGGUUCAGGUUCUGGUUCUGGUUCUGGACUCCCCAUAACGGAGCUGCACCACCUGCAACACAACGGGGUCAAGGCUCUGGGUCUGGUUCUGGUUCGGGUUCUGGUUU